RNAcentral lists this long non-coding RNA (211 nucleotides) under Nicotiana benthamiana. Its description in RNAcentral is "long non-coding RNA (NBEN_LNC002975)". The record is from RNAcentral. Lineage: Eukaryota; Viridiplantae; Streptophyta; Magnoliopsida; Solanales; Solanaceae.
GACAGUAUAUUCAUUCUCACCCUUUAAAGCCUCUAGAGUACUUUAAAAAUUGAGGGUUUUAAGUGGCAAAUGUUGAUAAGAUAGGCACUUACUAGAAUAGCAUCCCCCAGUAAGGUUUUGGUAGAUGCAUGGUGAACAUAAAAGAUUGUCCUACUUCUAACAAAUGGCUAUUUUUUCUUUCAUCGACCUCAUUUUAUGCACUAGUGUAAGG